This 18-nucleotide microRNA is filed under the name Gallus gallus (chicken). RNAcentral describes it as "microRNA Ros-gga". Lineage: Eukaryota; Metazoa; Chordata; Aves; Galliformes; Phasianidae. The record is from RNAcentral.
AGGAGAGCUUGGAAAGGG